Molecule: ribosomal RNA, 465 nt
Filed under: Salmonella enterica subsp. enterica serovar Rubislaw
Lineage: Bacteria; Pseudomonadati; Pseudomonadota; Gammaproteobacteria; Enterobacterales; Enterobacteriaceae
Also listed under: 3 other names
Description: partial 23S ribosomal RNA
Rfam family: Bacterial large subunit ribosomal RNA
Source: RNAcentral
CGUGCUAAUCUGCGAUAAGCGCCGGUAAGGUGAUAUGAACCGUUAUAACCGGCGAUACCCGAAUGGGGAAACCCAGUGUGACUCGUCACACUAUCAUUAACUGAAUCCAUAGGUUAAUGAGGCGAACCGGGGGAACUGAAACAUCUAAGUACCCCGAGGAAAAGAAAUCAACCGAGAUUCCCCCAGUAGCGGCGAGCGAACGGGGAGGAGCCCAGAGCCUGAAUCAGCAUGUGUGUUAGUGGAAGCGUCUGGAAAGGCGCGCGAUACAGGGUGACAGCCCCGUACACAAAAGCGCAUGUGCUGUGAGCUCGAUGAGUAGGGCGGGACACGUGGUAUCCUGUCUGAAUAUGGGGGGACCAUCCUCCAAGGCUAAAUACUCCUGACUGACCGAUAGUGAACCAGUACCGUGAGGGAAAGGCGAAAAGAACCCCGGCGAGGGGAGUGAAAAAGAACCUGAAACCGUGU